This 1312-nucleotide ribosomal RNA is filed under the name Gesonula punctifrons. RNAcentral describes it as "16S ribosomal RNA". The stretch from base 882 to 1234 matches the Rfam family "Archaeal large subunit ribosomal RNA", at positions 2155 to 2712 of the family's 2987-position model. Lineage: Eukaryota; Metazoa; Arthropoda; Insecta; Orthoptera; Acrididae. The record is from RNAcentral.
UUACAAUUUAUAUUAUAUAUAUUUUUUUUGUUUAUUUUAUUUAAUAAGAAUAAUUUUAUUUAUUUUUGUCUUAGUAUAGUUUAUAGAAUUGAUUUUUAUAAUUAUAGUUUAUUAGUAAUGUAAAUGUAUUAUGAAAUACUUUUUUUAGUUUAAUAAAGUAGAUUUAAUUUGUUGUACCUUUUGUAUCAGGGUUUAUCAAAAUUUAAUUAAUUAUUUAUUUAUCUCGAUUUAGUUUGAUUUAUAAUAAAUUUAAGCUUAAUGUUUUAAAAUUAUCUUUAAAUUUAUUAUGGAAAUGAAAUGUUAGUCGUUUACUAAGAUAUCUAGUUUCUUAAGAAAAAAUUUAAUUUUUUAUUUAAAUGUUUUUACUUAAUUUAUUAGGUUAAUUUAUUUAAAUAUUUACGUUUUAGGGGAUAAGCUCUGAAACUAAUUUUCUAUAAUUAUUUAUUUAAUAAUUUAAUAGUAGGCUUUGAACCAGCAUUUCUUUGGAUUACGUUUUAGUUCAUAAUUUUAAUUAUUUGAUUUUUUAAAAAUUUUAGAUUUAAUAUUAAGAUAAUUUAUUGAAUUUUAUAUUUUUUGUAAUAAUGAUGGAAUUAGUAUAUUAAAUUGUUUAUAAUAACUUAUUUUUAUAUUUUAUUAUAAGGAAUUAGGCAAAUAGGAUUUCCGCCUGUUUAUCAAAAACAUGUCUUCUUGAUUAUAUUUUGAAGUCUGACCUGCACACUGAGUUUUUUUUUGAAGAGCCGCGGUAUUUUGACCGUGCAAAGGUAGCAUAAUCAUUAGUCUCUUAAUUAGGGACUGGUAUGAAUGGUUUGACGAGAAAUCAUCUGUCUCUUGAUAAUUUAUAUAAUUUAACUUUUUAGUUAAAAGGCUAAAAUUAUUUUUUAGGACGAGAAGACCCUAUAGAGCUUUACAUUUAAUUUAUAUAGAUAUUUUAGUUUAUUUUUUUUGUAUAAUAAUAAUGUUUUGUUGGGGUGACAUGAAGAAUAAAUAAACUCUUCAUAAAUUAAAUCAUUAAUUUAUGUUUAUUUGAUCCAUAAUUUAUGAUCAUAAGAUUAAGUUACCUUAGGGAUAACAGCGUAAUUGUUUUUGAGAGCUCUUAUCGACAAAACAGAUUGCGACCUCGAUGUUGGAUUAAGAAAAAUUUUGGGUGUAGUAGCUCAAAAAUUAGGUCUGUUCGACCUUUAAAUUCUUACAUGAUCUGAGUUCAGACCGGCGUAAGCCAGGUCGGUUUCUAUCCUGAAUUAUAAUUACUUAUAUUAGUACGAAAGGACCAUAUAGGUUAAAUAUUUUAUUUUUAUUGAACAAAAUUAAUAUA